RNAcentral lists this ribosomal RNA (469 nucleotides) under Escherichia coli. Its description in RNAcentral is "bacterial SSU rRNA". It matches the Rfam family "Bacterial small subunit ribosomal RNA", at positions 30 to 487 of the family's 1533-position model. Lineage: Bacteria; Pseudomonadati; Pseudomonadota; Gammaproteobacteria; Enterobacterales; Enterobacteriaceae. The record is from RNAcentral.
AUUGAACGCUGGCGGCAGGCCUAACACAUGCAAGUCGAACGGUAACAGGAAGAAGCUUGCUUCUUUGCUGACGAGUGGCGGACGGGUGAGUAAUGUCUGGGGAACUGCCUGAUGGAGGGGGAUAACUACUGGAAACGGUAGCUAAUACCGCAUAACGUCGCAAGACCAAAGAGGGGGACCUUCGGGCCUCUUGCCAUCGGAUGUGCCCAGAUGGGAUUAGCUAGUAGGUGGGGUAACGGCUCACCUAGGCGACGAUCCCUAGCUGGUCUGAGAGGAUGACCAGCCACACUGGAACUGAGACACGGUCCAGACUCCUACGGGAGGCAGCAGUGGGGAAUAUUGCACAAUGGGCGCAAGCCUGAUGCAGCCAUGCCGCGUGUAUGAAGAAGGCCUUCGGGUUGUAAAGUACUUUCAGCGGGGAGGAAGGGAGUAAAGUUAAUACCUUUGCUCAUUGACGUACCCGCAGAAG